This 200-nucleotide unclassified non-coding RNA is filed under the name soil metagenome. Its description in RNAcentral is "partial contains internal transcribed spacer 2 and large subunit ribosomal RNA". The record is from RNAcentral.
CAUUAUCAACCAUCAAGCCUGGCUUGUCGUUGGACCCCUUUGUUGCCCAAGCGACAGGUCCGAAAGAUAAUGAACGGUGUCCUGGUGGCGCUAAAUGCAACGAGCUUUUACCAGCACGCAUCUAGCGGUCCAUAAGGCCUGCUCUCAACCAUUAUUUCACGGUUGACCUCGGAUCAGGUAGGAAUACCCGCUGAACUUAA